UGAGUUUGAUCCUGGCUCAGGACGACGCUGUGGGGCGGGCCUAACACAUGCAAGUCGAACGAGGCUUUCCGGUGCUUGCACUGGAAAAUCGAGUGGCGAACGGGUGAGUAAUACAUGAGAAACCUGCCUUGGAGACGGGGACAACCUCGGGAAACUGAGGCUAAUACCCGAUAUCCCUGCCGAGUCGCAUGACUUGGCAAGAAAAUACUCAGGUGCUCCAAGAGGGUCUCAUGCCCUAUCAGCUUGUUGGUGAGGUAAAAGCUCACCAAGGCUUAGACGGGUAGCUGGUCUGAGAGGACGAUCAGCCACACUGGGACUGAGACACGGCCCAGACUCCUACGGGAGGCAGCAGUGGGGAAUCUUGCGCAAUGGGCGAAAGCCUGACGCAGCCACGCCACGUGUGGGACGACGGCCCUCGGGUUGUAAACCACUUUCAGCAGGGACGAAAAUGACGGUACCUGCAGAAGAAGCCCCGGCCAACUACGUGCCAGCAGCCGCGGUAACACGUAGGGGGCGAGCGUUGUCCGGAAUUACUGGGCGUAAAGGGCUCGUAGGCGGUUUGGUAAGUCAGAUGUGAAAACUCCAGGCUCAACUUGGAGACGCCAUCUGAUACUGCCAUGACUAGAGUUUGGUAGAGGAGUGCAGAAUUCCCGGUGUAGCGGUGAAAUGCGCAGAUAUCGGGAGGAAUACCAGUCAGCGAAGGCGGCACUCUGGGCCACAACUGACGCUGAGGAGCGAAAGCGUGGGGAGCGAACAGGAUUAGAUACCCUGGUAG
Molecule: ribosomal RNA, 775 nt
Filed under: uncultured bacterium
Lineage: Bacteria
Description: bacterial SSU rRNA
Rfam family: Bacterial small subunit ribosomal RNA
Source: RNAcentral